ACGGCUCAGUAACACGUAGCUAAUCUGCCCUUAGGACGAGAACAACCCCGGGAAACUGGGGCUAACUCUUGAUAGGUGAAGAACUCUGGAAUGAGUCUUUGCCUAAAUAGAUUCACGUUAUCCUCGUGAAUUUGCCUAAGGAUGAGGCCGCGACCGAUCAGGUUGUUGGCGAGGUAAUGGCUCACCAAGCCUUUUACCGGUGCGGGCCGUGGGAGCGGGAGCCCGGAGAUGGGUACUGAGACAAGGACCCAGGCCCUACGGGGCGCAGCAGUCGCGAAACCUUUGCAAUAAGCGCAAGCUUGACAGGGCUAUCCCGAGUGCCAUCCGCUGAGGAAGGCUUUUACCCAGUCUAGAACGCUGGGGGAAUAAGGAGAGGGCAAGUCUGGUGUCAGCCGCCGCGGUAAUACCAGCUCUCCGAGUGGUGUGGAUGUUUAUUGGGCCUAAAGCAUCCGUAGCUGGCUAGGUAAGUCCCUUGUUAAAUCCACCGAAUUAAUCGUUGGAUCGCGGGGGAUACUGCUUGGCUAGGGGACGAGAGAGGCAGACGGUAUUUUCGGGGUAGGGGUGAAAUCCUAUAAUCCCGGGAAGACCACCAGUGGCGAAGGCUGUCUGCUAGAACGCGCCCGACGGUGAGGGAUGAAAGCUGGGGGAGCGAACCGGAUUAGAUACCCGGGUAGUCCCAGCUGUAAACGAUGCAGACUAGGUGUUUGGACGGCCACGUGCCGUUCUAGUGCCGCAGGGAAGCUGUUAAGUCUGCCGCCUGGGGAGUACGAUCGCAAGAUUGAAACUUAAAGGAAUUGGCGGGGGAG
RNAcentral lists this ribosomal RNA (806 nucleotides) under uncultured archaeon. RNAcentral's name for it is "bacterial SSU rRNA". It matches the Rfam family "Archaeal small subunit ribosomal RNA", at positions 85 to 876 of the family's 1478-position model. The record is from RNAcentral.